RNAcentral lists this long non-coding RNA (749 nucleotides) under Populus trichocarpa (black cottonwood). RNAcentral describes it as "long non-coding RNA (PTRI_LNC003187)". Lineage: Eukaryota; Viridiplantae; Streptophyta; Magnoliopsida; Malpighiales; Salicaceae. The record is from RNAcentral.
GAGUUGUGUUAUUUACCUAAAGUUAAUAACAGACCAUUUUGUGAUAUGGUUUUAUUUUUUAAAAGUGAGAGUUUACAUUAAAUUUGAACUUGUACAUGUUGAGUAUAAGGUAGCUUGCAAACGUUGAUAUAUUUGUGGGAUUUGGUUAUAGCUUGUACUACUAAUGGGCUGCUUGAAAAUUAAGAUCCGUGUAGAACUCAUGCUUCAUGAAAUUUGAACCUGUACAUGUUGAGUAUAAGGCAGCUUGCUUCAUGAAAUUUGAACCUGUACAUGUUGAGUAUAAGGUAGCUUGCAUUCGUUGAUAUAAUUGUGGGAUUUGGUUAUAACUUGUACUGCUAAUUGGCUGCUUGAAAUUUGAGAAAGAUCCACGUAGAACUCAUGCCUUGAUUAUGAUGCUGCAGAUAGGAGAUAUAAAGUCAUGGGUCUAAUAAUUUGUCCAAUAGAAGUUGUCCAAAUCAGGGAAUUGAGCAAUAUUGUUUGUGUCAUAAUGACUGCCCCUUCAAGAUUUCCUCAAGUUGUCUAAAGUAUUUUAACAUAUCUGUUUUGAUGGGUGGCUGAAGAAGGUGUUUGUGUUGACUCAAUGAGCUAAAAUAGGAUGCAUCUUCUUGAAAGUCACUGAAGAAGUUUCUUUGGAAAAUGAUCUUAGUAUUUGCAAAAUUAUUAAACUAAAAAAAUUUCUGCGAACGAGUUAUUAAGGAUCAAUUAAGGCUCCUUUACCCAUGCUGGACAUUUUAUUAAUACUGGUAACC